AUGACUGUCCCUUUCAACAAGUUCGCCAGGUCCCCCACCUGGACUGCUUCCAUUGACCACACCUCCUGCCUGGCCCUGCACACUUGGAUGUUCGCCACACCUAAUAUACAUGGAAUUGCAAGGAAGAAAGUCCUGUGUAAGAGAACACAAACCAUAAGAGCAAGAACUGGAAAACUCUAUUGGGUCAAACUUGAAAGGAUGCUCCAACUGGGAGAGAAGAAGAGACUGAUGAAGGAAGGCAUGGUCUGAAGCGUCACCUGCCGCUGAGAGAGUCUUAAGAGGCAAGCGAUGAAGAGAAAGCAGUAGGGUAACAUGGUGAUCAUGGCUCUCACAGCUGCUCAGAAGGGGACUCAAACUCAGACAUGUCUGUUAGCAAAGCUGGUCUUCUUUCCCUCAGGUCAUAUUGUCUCCACCUCAGAAAGGCAUGGGAGGAGAGAAAGCCAGAUGCACAGUAGCUUUUGGUAUUAAUAUCAAGAAAGAAUGGUGGUGAAGUUUGGAUGAGUGGCCUGGAUCCAGCCUCUAAAGGGCCUUGGAUCCCAAAGGAGGACCCGAAGACAGUGUACUAUCUAGUUUCCACAGGGAAGAUAUGAUUCAGCCAGGCCCCCUCCGGUGAAGCUUGCAUCCCUGGGCUGGGAACUAUCUGACAACUUUGGACCAGGGCAAAGAAACCAGGCCUUCUUUAGCCAAACAGUAGAAAUAAGACUGUCUUCAGGGGCAGAGCUGCUGGACAUCAUUAGCCAGGCUUUUGUUCCAGGCAUUAAAAAAAAAAAUAAGGAACAUUAAGACUGAGGCCAGACUUAGGGUUAGAACCUUGCUUGGAAUGCCCAGAGCUUUCCUUUUUAUUCAAGACCCAAAUUAGCAUUAUCAUGUGCUUUUUCGCAUGAAGACUAAGCCAUCUGCAUUUCCUUUUUAAAACUAAUGAUCUUUAUGCUUAAAAUGACAAAUGAUACUGGUAUGUUAUAGAGUAUAUGUUGUAUUUAUCUUUAUGGUCACCCUAUGACUUGGACUCAAUAGUAAUGAGAGAAGGAGUUUCUACUGUAGCUCAGUGGUAGCAAACUUGACUAGUAACUAUGAGGACAUGAAUUUUGUGGCCUCGCUCAGCGGGUUAAGGAUCCGGCAUUGCCCUGAGCUGUGAUGUAGGUCACAGGUGCGGCUUGGAUCUGUUGUUGCUGUGGGUGUGGUGUAAGCCAGCAGCUGCAGCUCUGAUUUGACCCCUAGCCUGGGAACUUCCAUAUGCCACAGGUAUGGCCCUAAAAAGAAAAAAAAAAUAGUAAUGAGAGGAAAGUUUUUCCUGAAUUCCUGUGCGUUAGAUCAUGUAAUAAUGAGAAAAAAUUUUGCCUGUCUUCUUCAGGCUAAGCUCAGAGGAUCUACUCCAACUUUCUGAGGAAUAAGUUAAAUGUACAUAGAUCAAUAGCAGGAUCAUAUGUUGAUUAUGAUAAGAAGGCUGUGCUUCCUCCUGCGCUGUACUUUUGCAGAGCAUAAGGAUAAAAACUCUUCCUCUCAGUCUUAGUAACUUAGUUAUUUUAUAUAAAGUGUUUCAAUUUCAACGAAGAAUGUUAUUUCCUAGCAUGAGAUAUAAGCAUGUAUGAAUUUAAAAUCAGUCAUCUUUAUAUCUGUUUCUUCAAGGAUAUAUUGAACAUAGAAUUUGCUAAAAACACCAGUGAGCCCAUAAAAUAUUCAAUGGCAUCCACAUAAAAGGUAAUGGCAGACAAACAUCUUCUGAAACACUUAUAUCAGAAAUAGGGUCAGCCAGUAUCUGAGGAGGUGACAGGCUGAUCUGAAAGACUUAAUUGUAUGGGUAGCUCAAGAAGCCCCAGGCAGAGGGUAUGAGCCUGAGACUCUUCUUGCACAGGAGCAAAGGGCAAAAGUUCCUGGUAGCAGAUGUUGUUUCACCACAUGCAUAACUUUGGGGAUUAGCAUUCUCAAUGAUUCCCAUUUUGGCUCAGCAGAAACUUCUCCUCCCCACCACUGUCCAUUUGCCCAUUCGUUCAACAAUUUUUAAAGGUAGAAACUAUGCUAGGGACAGGGAAAGCUCAAAGACUGAGGCAGGACUGCUCUCUGUAACAAACUGCAGGCAUCUUGGAGGGUUCUGACCCAAUAUAUCUGUACUUUGGGAUUAUAACUCUGUAUUAGAAAUGAAGGUUACUGUCAUCUAUUUUUUUAAAUAAUCUCUCUGCCUAUUGUGAUUUGUGGAUAUGACAAAUUUCUCCAUGUUCUUAUGACUCUUUCCUCUUCCUUUUCUACCAUGAUAGAAGGAAAUAAGACAUAAUAUUGAAAGAGCUAAAUAUGUUUCUUCUCCCUACACUUCCCCUGCUCUGCCAAAGACAUGGCAGAAGUCAAAUUCCUUUUCACUUAUUAAACCAUACAGCGUAUAAGAACAGUUAUCAUGGAGGCACUUUCUUUUGCACCUAUUGAAAACCCUCAAUUCAUGAACAGCGAACAUAUCACUGGAGACAGUGUCUGGAGUGAUAUUAGUAUAGCUAAAAAUAGGGAUAAAAAUCACUUAAGAAUCCUUUUUAAAAAUGGCCAACAAUAGCAUCCUAUAUAUAGGAUAGGAUAGAUACAUAUGCAGUAGUAAUUAUGCUGUUUCCUGUUAACUGUAUCUCUUAUUGCUAACUAUAUGCAUAACAUAAUUAUUUUACCUUUAAAUUAUAUUACCUACUGAUAUAUUGAGAACAAACUGAUCCUCUAAGAUUUGGUAAUUUGGCCCAUUUUAAUACUAUGUUGAAAUAAUGAAUUCAGAUUGAAAGAAGGAAAUUACACCAACCUACAUCCUAUUUAGAUUCAUAUAAGAGUUUUGAUGCCCACACGGAUGCUAGAAGGGACCAGAAGUUCUCAUUUCCAGGCUUCUUCUGCUCCCAAAUCCCCCACUGCAGCAGGGUGCAUGUUCACUGCCCCUUGAGGACAGCUGAGGGUCUAACUGAAGUCACAUCCCUAGCAUGUGAUUUGGGAAGUGGCGGACAAUAAAGUCUUUAUAGAUGAUCA
Molecule: long non-coding RNA, 2985 nt
Filed under: Sus scrofa (pig)
Lineage: Eukaryota; Metazoa; Chordata; Mammalia; Artiodactyla; Suidae
Description: lncRNA (ENSSSCG00070020910.1)
Source: RNAcentral